Long non-coding RNA from Chenopodium quinoa (quinoa), 1959 nucleotides. RefSeq lists it as uncharacterized. The transcript has 6 exons. The record is from RefSeq and is a predicted model, not a curated record. NCBI's taxonomy places the organism in Eukaryota, Viridiplantae, Streptophyta, Magnoliopsida, Caryophyllales, Amaranthaceae.
UUAAAUAUUAAAGUAAUGACAAUUACAAAAAUAAAUUAAAAAAUCAUAGCUGAAAAAAAAUGAAAAUGGAUUGUUAAAAUUAUAACUAAAUAAUUACCCGAUUCCCUACCCGACUCGAUUUCAAACUCGAAUUUUUUAGAACGAAUCUGGACCCGACUCGGCCCAACCUAAACGAUCCAAAAUUGACCCAAUUUGACCUCCUUAUUAUAUUUUUUACUAACCCAAAUAAUCAAAACCAUUUGAAUCAAAUGACCCAAAAUUCAACCUAAAUCUAAUCCGAUAUUUUGAAUUGACAAGUCCCGAUGACCUGAUCCAUAUAACAAUCUGGAUACAAGCUCUAAAAGGGAGGGAAAAUGAAAAAAAAAUAAUAGGGUGGAAAAAUUAAAAAGAAAGAAAAAGGGCGGAAGAAUUUCUGCUACUACGAUCUUCACAAUAGCUAUUCAGUUACCUGAUUUGUUCUUCUUCCUCACUCUCUCUCUCCUCAAAGAUGGAGGUGUAGACGCACUGCCGCAAGAUAUACACCACCACAGCUGGCGACAAAUACUCUUGCAUUUCUUGUUCUAUCUCCUCUAGCUUGGUAUUCUAGGGUUUUUUUUGGAGCUUUUACUUCUGCAAUUCUCGUUUUUUUCUCUCCUCUAGCUUAAUUGGUAUUCUAGGGCUUGACAAAUUAUGUGGUUAAUUUCAGAAAAUAUUUCCUAAUUUGUAAAAUUUGGGCUUGAUUUUCAAUGAAAUCAAAGGGAAUUUCUCAGCGCUUCAACAAAUCAGAGAAAAAGUUGCAAAAGACCGUCAGAAAAAGAAAGAGGAGACAAUUUCUAAGUCUGGUUGGGUGGGCUGAUUCCGAAAUCAUUGUCUGUAGAAGGAGAGCAGGUUGCUGCUGGGUGGCCUACUUGGCUUGCCGCCGUUGUAGGGGAGGCUAUCUAAGGAUGGGUGCCGCAGCGAGCUGAUACAUUGAUAAGUUAAAUAAGGGACCUCAUAAAGAAGCGCUUUUUGGGAGGCAACCCGAGUUCAAGUUCAACUAAGGCACCUAAAACUUAUACUAAUUUCAAGUCAAGCCAGGAUGGGCUACCUGAAUUAUCAGAAAAUCCAAUUCAUCCUAAGUAUCCUGAUAUCACUUUAUCUAGGAGUGGGCCAGGAAAUUAAACUUGUAGCACAUGGUGUUAAAGGUUUUGGUAAGCAUGCAAAGUUGUCCCCAUUUGCUACUGCUUGAUACCGGAUGCUUCUUGAGGCAUUGCUGGUCUCUGGUGGAAGUGAUGGUUUACUAAUACUUUGGAGUGCUGAGCUUGGUCAUGAUUCACGAGAUCUUGUACCCAACCUUAGCCUAAAGGCACACGAUGGUGGAGUUGUUGUAGAAUUAUCAAGAGUGUCUAGUGGUGCUCAGUGCUCCACAACUUAUUACAAUUGGCGCAGAUAAAAUAAUGGCUAUAUGGGAUACAGUCUCAUUCAAAGAGAUGCGGGGAUAAAACCAGUUCCAAAGAUAUCUUGCCAUAGUGUGGCAUCUUGGUGUCAUCCUCGAAAUUUAGGUCUCAAAGGCUUAAAGUGCAGCCCACGCUUAGGGAGAGCCCUCUCCAAGGACCCGCGGGUGCGGCAACGAGAGGAGAUGGCGCGGACAGGGUUUUAAUUCUCCAUCGAGUUCCUGGACAGGCGCGACAGUUUGACCCGCGGACGCGGCGAACUAGGUUUCAUAAAAUUUUAUUUUCUUAUUUUUUUAGGGCAUUAAGGGCACCGGUUAACCAAUAGUGAAAUUCUAUUGGAUUUUGUUGUUUGGAUUUUGAUGAGUACACAUGAAUUUUUUUUUGUAUAAAAUCAAUUUUCUUCUAUAUUGAUGUCAUGUUUCCUAUUAGAUUGAUUAUUGUCUAUUGUUGAGUUCACAUGUUGAUUCAUCUUUAUUCAUUCAAUUUAUAAUUUACAUAUAAUCGCUUUUAAGGUGUUGCUUUUAAGAUAUUUAGCAUCACUUUUUUU